RNAcentral lists this ribosomal RNA (482 nucleotides) under uncultured bacterium. RNAcentral's name for it is "partial 16S ribosomal RNA". It matches the Rfam family "Bacterial small subunit ribosomal RNA", at positions 30 to 507 of the family's 1533-position model. The record is from RNAcentral.
AUUGAACGCUGGCGGCAUGCCUUACACAUGCAAGUCGAACGGUAACAGGUCUUCGGAUGCUGACGAGUGGCGAACGGGUGAGUAAUACAUCGGAACGUGCCCGAUCGUGGGGGAUAACGAAGCGAAAGCUUUGCUAAUACCGCAUACGAUCUACGGAUGAAAGCAGGGGACCGCAAGGCCUUGCGCGAACGGAGCGGCCGAUGGCAGAUUAGGUAGUUGGUGGGAUAAAAGCUUACCAAGCCGACGAUCUGUAGCUGGGCUGAGAGGACGACCAGCCACACUGGGACUUAGACACGGCCCAGACUUCUUCGGGAGGGCGCCGUUGGGAAUUUUGGACAAUGGGCGAAAGCCUGAACCAAGCAAGCCGGGUUCAGGAUUGAGGGCUUCCGGUUGUAAACUGCUUUUUGUACGAACCAAAAGACUCUGGUUAAUACCUGGGGUCCAUGACGGUACCGUAAGAAUAAGCACCGGCUAACUACGUG